AAAAAGGGCUUCUGUCGUGAGUGGCACACGUAGGGCAACUCGUUUGCUCUACGUGCGGAAUCGACAUCAAGAAGUGGGAUAACUAACCCUCAGGACAGUUAUCCAUUACUAUAGAUAACAAACCG
This 125-nucleotide small nuclear RNA is filed under the name Moschus moschiferus (Siberian musk deer). RNAcentral's name for it is "U11 spliceosomal RNA (ENSMMSG00000004146.1)". It matches the Rfam family "U11 spliceosomal RNA". The record is from Rfam by way of RNAcentral. Lineage: Eukaryota; Metazoa; Chordata; Mammalia; Artiodactyla; Moschidae.